CUUUUCGUAAUCCUGAUCCAUUUCCUAAUAUUAAAAAGUGGAAGGUGAAGACUUUUUUAGUUUGUAUGUUAACCACGACUCUUCAACUAUAAAUGAAGACACACAACACAAAGUUUAUAUAAUGAAAUUAAAUUAAAUGUGAUGACAUUUUGUAACAUGUCCAAUUGUCCAACUAGAGAAUAGUCAAAUUGUUAAUUUAUAGUUCUCUUUAGCUUUACACAAAAAUAAUAAAGAUCAUUUACAUACAUCAGUAUAUGUAUAUGGUCUGGAUUCAGCAGUGCAUCUAAAAUUCCGGGUCAAUGUGAUCAAUUUCCUGUAUCAUUAAAGCAAACAGUUUCUCUUAGCAACGUGCAUGGUAUAAACUCUCUUAUUUUAGCUUUCUCCAUUACUAGCCACAAUUAAAUAAAUUUAAUGCUUAAUAUUUAAAGUCAAUCAAACACCUUCCUCCUCUGUUCCUUUCUCUUCAAUUGCACAAUAUAUAUAAUGACCCUAUUUGCUCCACAUAACAUAAACCACUAACAUAAUCAUAAUCCUAGAUAUUUUACUUCCUUUCAUUGCAACCAUUUUAGAAAGUUCUUAGGCAUAUCUUAGAAUCAGAACCGCCGAUACACUUCAACCGACGGUCUAUAAACUCAUCAUCGUCAGCUAUGUCUUCCGAGUUUUCGACUACUUCAUCAGUUUGUAGUACGGACUUAUCAUGUGUGUCUUCUGAGGCUGAAGAAGAGACAAGUGCUAUGGUUCUCCUAGGUUGUCUUCAAUGUCACAUGUAUGUUUUGUUAUCCGAGGCUGAUCCCAAUCCAAAAUGCCCUAAGUGUAAGAGUACUGUCUUGCUUGAUUUCCUUAACAACAAACAAAAUACCAGAAAAACAAGCAGCUAGCAAGAUGAUGAUGCACACCAUGUAUAAAUAAUCAGAAAGAUACAAAUUAACAUGUAUUUGUGCUAUUCUAUUUCAUGUUGCUAUUUAAUUAAUUAUUAUAUAUAGAUUGUUUUAAAAAAAUUAAUUAUAUAUAGAUGGUUGAUUACAUUUUCCUCUUGAAUUUGCUUUUCGUUAGAUUUCAAUGUUUGGAAUACAAAGGUAAAGAUAACCAUUUAAAUUUCAUUUCAUUUCACCGUAAUUGCGAUUUAAUAUUAUUGCAUAGGUCUUUAUAAUAUUUAUAUUGCGACUGUAAUUGCAGCAUAAUCCGCAAUUUAGUACUAUGAGAAAUACAAAGAUUGUUUUGAAUUGGCAAAAUAAGAACAUGCAAGUCAAAUAAAAAAAAAGACGAAUUGUUCGUGAUAAUUUGAUUCUUAAAUGGAACAAUAUUUUAUAAGAAUUUACUUAACUCAACUCUGAAUUACUAGACCUCUUUCCGCUAGAACUAGAGGGUGAACCAAAAAAAAAAAAGCAAGCAAGAUAGGUAGAAAUUUAUUAGUUUCCAGCGCCUCAUUUAAUGUAUGGGUAUGUACUAUCUAUUGAUAACUACAAGAGCUUGAACUAAUAAGCACCACACCCUCAAGUUGGGAGGUAAAGGUUGACGACACCUUAAAAAUCAACUCACUUAAUCAAGAGUUUAGCAUAGCUUUGGUAAUUACAUAUGUUGUUUGCUGAAGUUUAAGAAAGGAGAAAAGAACAUGUCUUAUAAAAUCACUAUCUCUAUCAGUGUAUAAAAUCACUAGGCUCAUGAUUUUUUUAUUAUUAUUAUUAUUAUUAUUUUAUUUAUAAUGUUUUUAGGUAUACACAACAAACUAAUUUUUUUUAUAGACAAAUGUUAAUAAUUAAUUGAGGUUACUUUUUUUUGUCAAAAAACCUAAUAAUUAGAAAUUCACCUCUAAGUGAAUAAGUGGAAAAUAAAUUAUGAGUUCCAACCCGUCCCCUAAAGAGAAAUAGAAAACAUUUGUUGCUAUUCAUGUUGUUACAAUAGAAAUCAUCCCUUAGAGAGAAAUAAUAUCAUAUAGAGGUGUUACAAUUUUUAUUUUUUUUAAGAAACAAACAAUGUCAACUAACAAGAAAUAAACAAUAUUCAACACAUACAUAACAGAAAACUGACAUCGUCAAAGACAAAGUUACUAAAAAGAAAAUUGACUAUAACCCAUGAAUUUCCUCCUAUGCAACAUUUCUUUUACGUCUCUAGUUGGACGUACCAUCACCCAAGUCGUUGUGGAUAUUUCCUUAAUUCCAAAUUAUUGAAAACCACUUGCUCAUCUUGAGAUCUUAGAGUGAUUUCACAUAGCUCCAUGUUUAUUGUUGUCGUGACAGUUAUAAAAAAAAUUAGUUCCAAAAUGAAGGGGUGCUUCUACAUCUUCAUCCAUAUCAAGAAUUAGGAUGUCGCAGAAAACCAGAGAUCAACCACCUUGAUAGGAAAUAAAUAUCACAUGAAUUACAUUUUUCACCUUUUUGUAGGCCACAUUGGACUUUGGUGUCUUCAUAAAAGUUCUAGAUAUGGAUGUUAUCUUUCAUGUUCCACUGUUCCUUAUCCAUUUUGUGACCUGGAACUCCAUAUAUGAUUAAAAUACCGCACAAACUUCACGUAGAGAUCAACAUGCCUCACUCGUUUUCUUUUACUCUUUUCCCCAUUUCUCUUCACUGUAACAAUCGUGAUGGAUAUACUACAAGAGCCCCAUUUCUCUUCACUGUAACAAUCGUGAUGGAUAUACUACAAGAGACAACUUGAUUGUUCUUGUAAAAAACAUAGCACAACCAUUGAGUUGUCUGGUUAGGUGAAUUCGAGCCAGUUUCAAGGUCUUCUUUGUAUAUUUUUAGUACAGUGUUAAUUUCUUCAGUUCUAGCUAAACUCUACUAAAACAAGCCUGAUAAUGGCUCAAAGGAUUGUAAAAUCACUCAAAGGACUGUCAAAUGACUCUUAAGGUGCACUAAAGACAUAAUAUGACAUACUGCCAUCAAGUUAUAUUUCGCAACAUUUUGUAACAUGCUUUUUGUAUCUUCGCAUUUUUUUCCCAUAUAAUUUCCAUAAAAAUGAAACCCACUAAUAAAUGUGUGCAUGACUCAAGAUUCAAACUUAUUUUAUUUUGUGCAUAACUUCCAACAACACAUAACUCGACGUAUAAUCUAAAACAUUAAAUUACACAUUAUUUGUAUUUUAAUACAAAGAUAUAUUUUUUUAUAAAAUCUCCAUACAUAUGACACUCCAUUUAUUUUUCUACAACUUAAGGUAUGCUCUUGAAUAUGCAGUGAGACAAUUUUGUAUCUUUUGAGAUAAAAAUAUCCUGACAAUGCAUUCUCUAUCCAUAAUGAUUAUUUCUAUCAAAUUCACUCACUUUAAUAUUCUCCUAUAAUCAAUCCAACAACAUCAUCUUCUCAUAGACCAAUUUUGCCCCCACCGCUUUCACCUUAAUCAAAUUCUCCACUUUAAAAUCUAUAAAGCAAUCGGGUUGGUUGGGGCAUUAGAGUUUUACAUUUGAAUGAGAAUAAUAUUAUUUAUUGUCUGAAAGUUUUCUAAGUAUAUGGUGUUUUUGUGAUAUUUGGCUUUUCACAAUGCUUGAUAUUCUUUAGUCAUUUGCUUUUUUUUGUUGCUACUUCUUAAAUCAUACUUGGGUUUAAUAGUCUUUUAUACUCUCCUAUAUUAUUUCCCUUUUUCUUCUACCAAUGUUCAAACUUCUUGCAAUUUGUUUUGGUUUUAUCUAACUUUUUUUUUUGUUAAUUUUUUGCAGAUUCUUUACAUGACAUUUUUUUAUUCUUUUGAAAAAUUGUUUCAUGUCUCUUUAAUAACAUGCCCGUUUUUCUUUGUUUACAAAAUAUUUUCUAUUUUAUCUUUGGAUAUUGAAUUAAUAUGGGAUCUUUUGCUAUAUUUUUUUAGUUGGAAAAAUCUUGAUGUUGAACUUAGCUUAUUUGCCAAAGAUUUUGGUUCUCUUAUCAUGUAACCACAAGAAGUUUCAUAGAUAGAAGUACAAUUGUUGCACAAUUGUGACAUAUACUAAAAAUAUCUUAACAAUUACUUGGAAUAUACAAUUGUAGCAUAUUCUUCUUUAACUUUCUAUAUUAUAGUGAUUUUACUUUCAAUAUUAUGGUUACUACAUAAUACUUGUCUUUUUUUUUUUUUGGUAGAUACAUAAUACUUGUCUUUAUUAAAACAUGACUAUGUCUUUGAAACCAAUUAAAUAGAAAGAUUAAAUAUUUUAACCUGAUUUCUAAUUGUUUGAAUUUCAUGUGUUUUUUCACUAAUUUUCCUCAAGUACGUCUAUAUGUCUUAUUUCACAUGAUUGUGAAUAUUGUAUCAUGUAUUAUCUCUAAUUGGUUUAUCCAUGUAAGUGAUAUGUUUAUCUUGUCAUGUUGAAAGAAAGGCUAAGAGUGGAAGAUUUUAGAAGGCAAACAUAUUGAUGAUAAGCAUACUCUGAUUGUACCAAGAAGUAUCAAUGAUUGAAAGAAAAAAAAUCAUGGUUCUUACAUUAUAUAUCUAUAUGUUUGUAAAAAUGAAUUUUCAUGUAAGUUGCAAUUCUACUUAAUUUUUCUUGUUUUUGUCGAAGGAAGCAAAAAAACCUUUAAUAACAUAUAUUUUAAUACCCUUUUGAGAUAAAGUGAAAUCUUUGGUAACAUGCAAAUAUCUUUAAGACUCUUUUUGGAUUAAUGGAAAUAAGCAGAAUAUAAAUGAUCGAAAUGGAAUAUAACAUAUUUUGAUUCCAUUAUAUUGUUUGAGUAUUUUAUAAUGUAAUAGAACAAAGUUCCUACUCCAUUGUUUGGAAAAUAAAUGGAAUAAAAUGAGUUACAAUAUUUUUUUUUCCAUUUCUACCCUUAUCUAAAUAUAUCAUGUAAAACAUAUUAUUAUUAAAAUUCUUGUACGUGUGACACUCUAAUCUAAUGACAAGUGCUUAUGUUGCUCUAAACUAUACUCACAAAUACAAUCACAGGAAACACAAAUUAAUAAUCCUACAUCUAUUUGAUAAACAAAAUGAUAUUGUUCACAAAAUUAAAUGGCUCACCAUCACAUCCAGUUCAAAAUUUUAUUUCACAAUCAUAUACGCUUCAAUAUCAUUUUUCAGUAUUUAAAAUGACUGAUUGCUUUUAUAUAGUUUCUUUUAGUUCCAAACUUGCAAUGUUGUUCACAAAAUGAAAAAAAUAAACGGCUCACCAAAAAUAAAUUACUCUAUUUUUUCAAUAUUUUUUCUAUUUGAUAAACAAAACUCAUCGGUGAACAAAGCAAUGCUAUUUUUAAAAAAAUGUCACGAGUAAAUAAAAUAGGGUACAUGAAAUCCAUAAAAAAUGACAUAACGAAGAAGAAACAUGAUGAUACGCCGGCCUUGUGAAGAAAUGAUCGGUCACACCGAAGAAGAAGUGAGGAAGAAAGACGUGGGAAGUAUGAGUAUUUGAAUAGUGGAAGAACAAAAGUAAUUAAAUAAAAUAAGGGUAAAAUGAUAUUAUUGCAAACAAUGAAAUUAUUAUAUGUCAUUUUAUUCUACAACACAUCUCAAAUUCAAACAUAACUAAAAGGGCAUAUUAGAGGUAUUUGGAUUUCAAUACGGUAUCUUAUCAAGUCUUGUUGUGUUUUUUUAAUAGAUUCGUGCAUCCCACAAGACAAAACGUCUUGUUUAAAAAAAUAAAAAACGUAUCAUAAUGUUAUUUUUCAAAACCUUAAUUAAAGAACUAUCUCACAGACAUUAUAUUUAAUUCACUCUCAAUAUGAAUAAUUAUUUAAACCAUUAUUCGAAUUAAAAAAAGAGUAACAUUUUACAUGCAUUUGGCGAUCAAACUAACACAAAACAAUCCAUAAUUCUUCUGAUUUUGCUUAGUUUUAUCUAUCUCAUUAGUCAAUUUUAAUCAUCCUAUUUGAAAAGAUCAAGAAGUACUGUGGUGUUGCACUGGGGACACUUUGGCUCAACCUCUGAUGAAAGAACAUACAUGUAACAUUUUUGACAACCAACAAGCACCAUCUUCUUUGUAACUGCUUCUCCAUGCUCCUUAUUAUCUUUUUUUGUUGAAAUUUCUGGAUCAUCAACAAUACUCGAAGACACCAACUCCGGCAACUGAUCAACUGAUGAUCUAACUUCAUCGGAAGAUGGAGGCCUCAAUUGCAACUCUACACUCUUUGUAUUGCUCAUUAUGAUAGAUGUCAAGUUAUCCUUAACUUUCAAGCAAUGUAGUUCUUACUCUAAAUUGUGGAUCUAAUUAUAAGAUUUUUUUUUUCUUUCUAAAAAGAUAAAUUAAGUAAUAUUUCUUUUUUGACCAUAAUUAAGUAAUAUUUAUUAAUAUUGUAAAAACCCAUACAUGUAAUUCUUGCGUGGAUACACAUUUGAACAUAUCAUUUAGACAUAAACGAAAAAGGAAAAAGCAGUAAUAAUAAUAAUAAUAAUAAUUAAAUCAAAUGUAUUUUUAAAUAAUUAAAUAAUACACCAUUUUGACAUACACUAAAAAGGAAAAAGCAGACAAACAAUAAAUAAAUAAUAUAUUUUUUUUGAAUAAUUAAAUGAGAUGUAUAUCAUAUUAUUUAACUAUUCAAAAAAUAUAUUAUUUAAUUGACUCAAUUUAAAAAUGUUUUAAUACUCUUCUAGUCUUUACGAAAAUACUUUUUAUCCUUGUGAAUAUAUGAUUUUUUUUAUUUAUGUUUUUUGUUUUUCUAUUUUUUUAGUCCCUUUUUUAAGGAACUAUUUUUUUUAGUCCUUGUUUUGUUUUAUUUUAUUCCUAACAAAAUUUAACUAUAUUAAAAUUCGUCUGUCGAAUAUGUAGAGUAUACUACAAGUAUAAUUUUAGUCUCUAAAAUAUGAGCGGAGAAAAAAAGAUAUAAAUAA
Molecule: long non-coding RNA, 6718 nt
Filed under: Medicago truncatula (barrel medic)
Lineage: Eukaryota; Viridiplantae; Streptophyta; Magnoliopsida; Fabales; Fabaceae
Description: long non-coding RNA (MTRU_LNC008806)
Source: RNAcentral